RNAcentral lists this ribosomal RNA (837 nucleotides) under Bacillus safensis. Its description in RNAcentral is "bacterial SSU rRNA". It matches the Rfam family "Bacterial small subunit ribosomal RNA", at positions 56 to 878 of the family's 1533-position model. The record is from RNAcentral. Lineage: Bacteria; Bacillati; Bacillota; Bacilli; Caryophanales; Bacillaceae.
UGCAGUCGAGCGGACAGAAGGGAGCUUGCUCCCGGAUGUUAGCGGCGGACGGGUGAGUAACACGUGGGUAACCUGCCUGUAAGACUGGGAUAACUCCGGGAAACCGGAGCUAAUACCGGAUAGUUCCUUGAACCGCAUGGUUCAAGGAUGAAAGACGGUUUCGGCUGUCACUUACAGAUGGACCCGCGGCGCAUUAGCUAGUUGGUGGGGUAAUGGCUCACCAAGGCGACGAUGCGUAGCCGACCUGAGAGGGUGAUCGGCCACACUGGGACUGAGACACGGCCCAGACUCCUACGGGAGGCAGCAGUAGGGAAUCUUCCGCAAUGGACGAAAGUCUGACGGAGCAACGCCGCGUGAGUGGCUAAACCUUGCGGUCUUGCAGCCCUUUGUUAGGGAAGAACAAGUGCGAGAGUAACUGUCCGCACCUUGACGGUACCUAACCAGAAAGCCACGGCUAACUACGUGCCAGCAGCCGCGGUAAUACAUAAGGGGCAUGCGUUGUCCGGAAUGAUUUGACGUCAAGGGUCCCCAGGCGGUUUCUUAAGUCUGAUGUGAAAGCCCCCGGCUCAACCGGGGAGGGUCAUUGGAAACUGGGAAACUUGAGUGCAGAAGAGGAGAGUGGAAUUCCACGUGUAGCGGUGAAAUGCGUAGAGAUGUGGAGGAACACCAGUGGCGAAGGCGACUCUCUGGUCUGUAACUGACGCUGAGGAGCGAAAGCGUGGGGAGCGAACAGGAUUAGAUACCCUGGUAGUCCACGCCGUAAACGAUGAGUGCUAAGUGUUAGGGGGUUUCCGCCCCUUAGUGCUGCAGCUAACGCAUUAAGCACUCCGCCUGGGG